This 366-nucleotide unclassified non-coding RNA is filed under the name Hevea brasiliensis (rubber tree). The record is from RNAcentral. Lineage: Eukaryota; Viridiplantae; Streptophyta; Magnoliopsida; Malpighiales; Euphorbiaceae.
AGAAAAAAAAAAAAAAGAACCAUCAAUCAAUCAAAACUGAAGCACCUAAAAUUACACAAUUCACCAACUAAAGAUAGAAAAUUUCGACUAAUUCACAUCUCAUAGAUCCAUACAACACAACAAAUUCCACUAAAAAAAAUCUAAUAUGAAGAAUCAGAUUUUAUAUUUGGGAGUUUAUAACACAAAAAGCCACUGGAGACAGAGAUUCACAGAUAUAAGCAUGGAAUAUGGCUAAAGCAGUGAAUUGAUUAACUAAGCUAUAAUCGAUCUACCUGAAAGAGGAUCUAAGAGGCAGCUACAGUAUGAAGCAACAACGCAGACAGUAUGAAGGGCAGAGGCUGAGGUAAGAAAAAACGAGUAGAGGUG